GAUGAACGCUGGCGGCGUGCCUAAUACAUGCAAGUCGAGCGAACGGACGAGAAGCUUGCUUCUCUGAUGUUAGCGGCGGACGGGUGAGUAACACGUGGAUAACCUACCUAUAAGACUGGGAUAACUUCGGGAAACCGGAGCUAAUACCGGAUAAUAUUUUGCACCGCAUGGUUCAAAAGUGAAAGACGGUCUUGCUGUCACUUAUAGAUGGAUCCGCGCUGCAUUAGCUAGUUGGUAAGGUAACGGCGUACCAAGGCAACGAUGCAUAGCCGACCUGAGAGGGUGAUCGGCCACACUGGAACUGAGACACGGUCCAGACUCCUACGGGAGGCAGCAGUAGGGAAUCUUCCGCAAUGGGCGAAAGCCUGACGGAGCAACGCCGCGUGAGUGAUGAAGGUCUUCGGAUCGUAAAACUCUGUUAUUAGGGAAGAACAUAUGUGUAAGUAACUGUGCACAUCUUGACGGUACCUAAUCAGAAAGCCACGGCUAACUACGUG
RNAcentral lists this ribosomal RNA (497 nucleotides) under uncultured bacterium. RNAcentral describes it as "partial 16S ribosomal RNA". It matches the Rfam family "Bacterial small subunit ribosomal RNA", at positions 28 to 507 of the family's 1533-position model. The record is from RNAcentral.